RNAcentral lists this ribosomal RNA (253 nucleotides) under uncultured bacterium. Its description in RNAcentral is "partial 16S ribosomal RNA". It matches the Rfam family "Bacterial small subunit ribosomal RNA", at positions 524 to 776 of the family's 1533-position model. The record is from RNAcentral.
GACGUAGGGGGCCAGCGUUGCUCGGAAUUACUGGGUGUAAAGGGUUCGUAGGCGGUGUGGCAAGUCGGGAGUGAAAUCUCUGGGCUCAACCCAGAGUCUGCUUCCGAAACUGCUGUGCUUGAGUGUGGGAGAGGCGCGUGGAAUUGCAGGUGUAGCGGUGAAAUGCGUAGAUAUCCGCAGGAACACCCGUGGCGAAAGCGGCGCGCUGGACCACUACUGACGCUGAGGCACGAAAGCGUGGGGAGCAAACAGG